AGGACCUGCUCCUCUCUGUGUCAUGGUGAGGAGGUAGAGGAAGGUAGGACCUGCUCCUCUCUGUAUCAUGGUGAGGAGGUAGAGGAAGGAAGGACCUGCUCCUCUCUGUGUCAUGGUGAGGAGGUAGAGGAAGGUAGGACCUGCUCCUCUCUGUGUCAUGGUGGGGAGGUAGAGGAAGGUUGUUGAGGACCUGCUCCUCUCUGUGUCAUGGUGAGGAGGUAGAGGAAGGUAGUCCAGUCUGGUUGUUGAGGGCCUGCUCCUCUCUGUAUCAUGGUGAGGAGGUAGAGGAAGGUUGUUGAGGACCUGCUCCUCUCUGUAUCAUGGUGAGGAGGUAGAGGAAGGUUGUUGAGGACCUGCUCCUCUCUGUUUCAUGGUGAGGAGGUAGAGGAAGGAAGGACCUGCUCCUCUCUGUAUCAUGGUGAGGAGGUAGAGGAAGGAAGGACCUGCUCCUCUCUGUAUCAUGGUGAGGAGGUAGAG
This 477-nucleotide long non-coding RNA is filed under the name Salmo salar (Atlantic salmon). Its description in RNAcentral is "lncRNA (ENSSSAG00000108243.1, ENSSSAG00000111622.1)". The record is from RNAcentral. Lineage: Eukaryota; Metazoa; Chordata; Actinopteri; Salmoniformes; Salmonidae.